Homo sapiens (human) is the source of this 1555-nucleotide long non-coding RNA. Ensembl annotates it as Pvt1 oncogene. Its record names the gene PVT1. The record is from Ensembl. Lineage: Eukaryota; Metazoa; Chordata; Mammalia; Primates; Hominidae.
ACUCCACCACUGUGAAUCCUGGCUACUGGGGCUAGUUCCUUGCUAGGAAAAAAAAACUCUAGAGAAAUGUGUUUGUGUGUGGUGGGUGGGCGGGGGCCCUGAGGAUGCAGGGACUGUGUCUGCUGUGUUGUCUGUUAUAAGAUGUUUCAGACCUAUUUUGCAUACUGGCAGCGACAAGUUGAGACUUGUUCAACUUGACACAGUCCUGUGGUCAUAGCGAAUCUUUCUAAAGCUCUGAUCAGUCAAGAAGGGGGUUGUAUCAAUCCUCAGAACCCUGAGUGGAACUUUCUACAGGAUUUAUUAGGAGAAAAACCUUCCCGGAAGCUGCAGAAGGACAAAUACAGAAUCCGUGUCUGGGAGAAACCUCGUGGCCUGGUCUCCAUUAUUUGAGAUGAGUUACAUCUUGGAGGUGAGGACGUGCCUCGUGGUCUAAAGCUUCGGCACAAGGGCCCAACUGGAAUUCCACUUACGGGCCUGAUCUUUUGGCCAGAAGGAGAUUAAAAAGAUGCCCCUCAAGAUGGCUGUGCCUGUCAGCUGCAUGGAGCUUCGUUCAAGUAUUUUCUGAGCCUGAUGGAUUUACAGUGAUCUUCAGUGGUCUGGGGAAUAACGCUGGUGGAACCAUGCACUGGAAUGACACACGCCCGGCACAUUUCAGGAUACUAAAAGUGGUUUUAAGGGAGGCUGUGGCUGAAUGCCUCAUGGAUUCUUACAGCUUGGAUGUCCAUGGGGGACGAAGGACUGCAGCUGGCUGAGAGGGUUGAGAUCUCUGUUUACUUAGAUCUCUGCCAACUUCCUUUGGGUCUCCCUAUGGAAUGUAAGACCCCGACUCUUCCUGGUGAAGCAUCUGAUGCACGUUCCAUCCGGCGCUCAGCUGGGCUUGAGAAUCCUGUUACACCUGGGAUUUAGGCACUUUCAAUCUGAAAAAAUACAUAUCCUUUCAGCACUCUGGACGGACUUGAGAACUGUCCUUACGUGACCUAAAGCUGGAGUAUUUUGAGAUUGGAGAAUUAAGGCCAACAGAGAUUUUGAGAAACACAUUGAAGGAUCUGUUAACACUUGAUAUACCCAAUAAAAGCAGUGGUUGUGCCAGUGCUGAUCUGUCUUGAUGUGAAUGUGAACAAUGGGAACCUGAGCUGAGCAGAAGGACAGAAUAACGGGCUCCCAGAUUCACAAGCCCCACCAAGAGGAUCACCCCAGGAACGCUUGGAGGCUGAGGAGUUCACUGAGGCUACUGCAUCUUGAGACUCAGGAUGAAGACCCAGCUUGGGGCUGUCAAAGGUUUUUUGCAUGUCUGACACCCAUGACUCCACCUGGACCUUAUGGCUCCACCCAGAAGCAAUUCAGCCCAACAGGAGGACAGCUUCAACCCAUUACGAUUUCAUCUCUGCCCCAACCACUCAGCAGCAAGCACCUGUUACCUGUCCACCCCCACCCCUUCCCCCAAACUGCCUUUGAAAAAUCCCUAACCUAUGAGCUUUGAAUAAGAUGAGUACGAACUUCAUCGCCCACGUGGCGUGGCCGGCCUCGUGUCUAUUAAAUUCUUUUUCUACUACAA